UGAGCAACCUGCCCUUGACUCCGGAAUAACAGCUGGAAACAGCUGCUAAUACCGGAUAUGACCUCCGAUGGCAUCAUCUGGAGGUGGAAAGCUCCGGCGGUCAAGGAUGGGCUCGCGGCCUAUCAGCUUGUUGGUGAGGUAACGGCUCACCAAGGCUUCGACGGGUAGCCGGCCUGAGAGGGCGACCGGCCACACUGGGACUGAGAUACGGCCCAGAUCCUACGGG
This 226-nucleotide ribosomal RNA is filed under the name uncultured bacterium. RNAcentral's name for it is "partial 16S ribosomal RNA". It matches the Rfam family "Bacterial small subunit ribosomal RNA", at positions 118 to 345 of the family's 1533-position model. The record is from RNAcentral.